Molecule: non-coding RNA, 4967 nt
Organism: Myodes glareolus (Bank vole)
Lineage: Eukaryota; Metazoa; Chordata; Mammalia; Rodentia; Cricetidae
Source: RefSeq, a predicted model, not a curated record
CCUAAGAAGAAACAGUGAUAAACAAGUGGCUCAGAUUCCUCAUUAACUGCUUUUUCCAGGCUUCUUAAAAUAUGCACCACAAGGAUUAAAAAUUAAACUUUACUGUGCGGUAAACAGUUGUGCUGGCCAACUAUUAUGAUUGUAUUAUAUUCUAGUAGUAUCUCAUCAAAUGACCAUUUAUUUUAAAAUGAAGUAAAAUUCUAAGUAUGCUAGGAAAAUACAGGUAUAUGAAAUAAUAUAGGGAGUCGUAGUAAUGCUGUUUUCAAAUGGUCUAGAAUAGUCUACUAAAAGACUACUGUAUCCAGCAAGGGUCUGCCACAGUUGAAAGAGAAACACUUUCCAUGGUUCAAACAGCCUGAAAAAAACCCAAAAAGAAAAAACAAAACAAAACAAAAAGUACGCUAAACAGAUUACUGGGAGCAAUACUCUAUCUGAGGAGAGGAAUAAAUGCAGCCAAGUGACUAAAGAAAAAUCAAUGAAUCCUAAUUUAAUGAUAUGCAACUGAGAACACAAACCAGAAAAAAAAAAUCAAACUGACUACAGUCUACACAUCCAAAUACUAAUGGAUUAAAAAAAAAACCCAUUGUCUAUUGUCUAUAAAAACCCAGUUUGAAAGAUAGGCACCAUUUCCUUAAAAUGAAAGGAUGGAAAAAGUAUUUCAAGUGAUGGGAGAAAGAAGCAUGUGGCUUGGCUCGCCAUCCUUAAUCUAUGACAAAAUAGAUUUCACACUAAAACUAGUCAUCAGACAAUGAAAGGAAAUUCAUUCUAAUCAAGGGAUCAAGUAGCCAGGAAACUAUCGCAAUACUAGACAUAUAUACACCAAACUCUGAUGUGCCCCAUUUUAUUAGAAGCAGAAGAGAAUUAAAGACACAGACUAAUGGAGUAACAAUCAUAGUAGAUGAUUCUAACAACCCACCUUCUCCAUAAGAGAGGUCAUUUGGACAAAAAAGAAAAAAGAGAAACCUCAGAAUUAAAUAUUGGUUUCUCUAACAUGAAACCAAUAACAUAUCUACAGAAUAUUUUACCAAAAUAUCAAAUAACUUUCAAUCACACAUGGGAUCUACUCUAAAACAGAGAACAUGCUGGGACACAGAGCAAAUCUUUGAAAUAAUUCCAUAUUUCCUAUGUAACCAUUAUAGUAUGCACUCAUAAGUGGCUUUUUAGACAUAAAGCAAAGAAAAAUCAUCCUACAGUUCACAGCCCCAGAGAACCUAAACAACAAAGAAGACCCCCGCCCCCCAAGCUGGAGUCCCCUCUUCCAUCCAUUUCCUGUCUGUACUGCUGUUUUCCCACCCUUGUCCCUUUAUCCUUUCCUGGUCUACAUGUUGUGUAUCCACAUUGGAGCUGGGGGCUGCAGGUGAUAAAGAAUAGGUGACAUCUAAGCUUUCGCGCUCAGCAUAAUCUUUUCUAGGUCCAUCCAUUUACCUGAAAAUUUCAUUUACCAUACAGCUGAAUAGUAUUCCAUUGUGUAUCAAUGUACUGCAUUUUCACUAUCAAUUAUCUGUUGGACAUUCUCUGGGGGAGCAAUACAGAAGAGACGAGGGACAAGUAACAACAGAGCUGUUUGAUAAUGCCUCAAGUAAUCGUAUUACCUAUAUUGAUGUUAAACAGUAUGCAGCACAUAAGUGUGUGUGCACACACAUAUGAAGUUAAGCCACCUGGGCUGACAAUGCUCCCCACAGGAAUCAUAGACUAAUGAAUGCUCCAGUACCGGGCAUGAGAAAUUGCCUAUUGCAUGGUCAUGGUAGUCCAAAUGACUCCCAAUCAAUUCUUGGUGUCUCUCACAGAUUGAAGGUAGGGUAGGCUCUUCUUCCUGAAGACAUUAUACUUGAGGACACAGAACUUGGAUGACUUGAGCUGGAUCUGACCUGAAAGCCUUUUUCCUGCCGUCUAGCUUCCUUGGGUCCAGAAAUUACUAUGCAAGUUGCUAAGGGAAGGAAGCAAUUAAAGUCUUAUCAAGCUGUAACACCUAGGAACCAAGCCAGUUGCCAGCAUGGUAAGAUAGGCACAAUAAAUGGCCCUCAUAUAUCAGCGGCAACCAACAGCUGUCUAAUUGGAUUUAAGGCCAUUUAACAGGAAGAAAAGCAUCCGUGGUACAUCCCUAAAUUAGCCAGCUUCUUGGGACUAGUGAGGUCAUGGACUUCAGAAAGCGGUCUUCACUACCACUUUGAUAAGCCUUGUCCUUAUAUCCACAGAUAAGCAUAAUUCCACUCCUCAUCAAAGAAGCAAAUAGAGACCAGCACAGAAAACCACAAAUGUAUCUCACAACGAUUCUGAGAUUAACAGAUUGUAGGAAGCCCAGUCCCUCUGGUCACAUCUGCAUCACAGUUCCUGCAUCAAUGGCUCCGGGACCACAGAAGAAAAGAGGGCAGCAAGAGUGUAAGAGUCAGACUACCAGGAAGGCAGCUGUGAAAUGGUCUCUCUCAGAAACAGUGACACAGACCAGACUGGAACAGUGCCACAUCGGGGGACAUGCUAACGCAGACAGGCUCUCACAAUGGAUGACGGCUCAGAGGAGGAGAAUGAACACAUACACGUACAUAUGUGUGUACAUAUUAUUAUAUGUAUUAGCAAUAAAAAAGAAAAAGACUACCAACUGAAGAGUAAAGGCACUUGGUAGGGGCUCAAGGGAUGUCAGGGAGGAAAUGUAGGCAAGAAGGUGAUGUAAUUCUAUUGUAAUUAAAAACAUAUUUUAAAAAGUUAACUCUGAAUAGUCCAUUAUACUAAGGUGACAAACUACUUGAAGCAGGCUGAGCAGUGACUGUUUAAGGCUUUGUGGAAUGAAGGAUCUCUCCAUUUGAAUAUCAUCUUGAAUUGUAUACUAAAAGUCUUCAACCUUAUAUUUGAAGACCAUGAAAACGCAACAUCAAUUCACAGAUGCUAGAAAAUGCAGGACUGCAAACUAUAGCCUAAGACACAGCAGCAUGACUCAAUAAACCACCAGUAACAAGUUCUAGUUUGGCUCUGCUGCUAGGCUGUGCAUUCUUGGCCAUCCUAGAUACCUCUCAGUUUUCUCAGCUUUGGGAUAGUUAUCUCCAGAACAGAUGGUCCCUUCCACCUUCUAGGUCAGAAAGCAUGAAGAUGAUGGGUCCCACCUCAGAACCGACAUUUUGAAAAUUAAUUGGGACAGAAUUCUGCUAAUUCUCUUGGGUAAAUGUGCCAAGGAACCAAUUAGAGGGGGAAAGGAAAGCAGAAUCAAAUACCCAACAGAAUCACCCAAAGAGCUAGCCUAUCAAUCUCUAAUAUGCAAAUGAAAGUAAAGGAGAAAACAUACACAAAUCCAAGUACUUACUGCCCACCCACCCUCUGGCCCGAGAGCUUUGCUGUGGGACUCACACUGACAUCAUGUUCCAGCUCAGCCAGCAAGUCAAAUUGGUGUCUUUUAGUGCCUGGCAUGUCUGCAGGAACACCGGACCACACCUAGGACAGAGCACACCACAAAAGAAUCGAUCUGGAAAUGUAGGGUACAGAGAGCACUGGAGCGGCUUGGAUGGGAAAAGCACAAGGGAAUCUGAAGAGAAAGCUGAUGGCCCUGCAAUACAGAGACAGCGAGAACACAUGGAUGCGUGUUUCACAAUGAAACACACUGAUCUUUCAAUGAUCCCUCAACUUAACUUGCACUGUUAGAAUUAACUGAUCAACCAGGAGGGCUCCAGUCUGUCAUCAAACAAGGGCUCCAAAUCUGUUUCUGAAGACCUAGAAACGCCUAUGUGAACACACUGCAGAAGCACACACGAGACACUAUUAUUGAAGACACACUCAUGUGUAUUGAAGGUGAACACACUGCAGAAGCACACACGAGACACUAUUAUUGAAGACACACACGUGUGUAUUGAAGGACAUAAGAAACCAAGCUGGAACUUAGCUGACAAUUUCUUUCCUGGUGGCGAGCUUUCAGGGUCAGCCACUGGGGUGGGUAGGGGGUCAUGAAUGGAUUUGUCCACCAGUGGAUCCUGCGUGUUAUUAGACUGACGUGCCUGCUGUGUACAAUAAUGGCUUCCCAACUGGAUCUGAAGCCUACUCCACAGGAAGGAAUUCAUGUCUUGUCCUGUAAACCUGGUCAAAGGCCCAUGGCUGGGGAAGUCCUGGGCCUUAGGUGAAAUUACUGCUGUUUUCUGACAGUCUGCUGCCUACCUAUUUAUGUUUAGACCUUAGAUGGGUGCUGUUCUCAGCCUUGGUCAGGGAAGCUGCUUUCUGCAGUUGGAAACAUUAAAUGCAGACACUCCUAACCGCUCAAAGUGCUGAGUGCAAGUGACUAUCAAUUGCUUGGUCCUUCAUGGGCAUUCACACAUCACCCAGUGCUGAGUCUGCAGGAGGGAGGCGUGCUAUGCGCUGUCUUCUGGGUAGGACAUGGCUGCCACACUCAGGAACUCCCAUCAGCUGUGCUACCUGCAUGAGAUGUCCACAACCUUCCAUCGUGGACAGGAGAAGCCUCAUGAGGCUCUGUCCAUGCUAAGCAGUUAGUGACAACUUUCUGGGGUAGGGGUGCCAUUUUUCUUCAGGAGUGUGGCAUCUGAUAGGCUACCCAAACUCUGUGGAUGGCCCACACCCAUUCUGCCUGCAGGCAACACUAACUGGAAUCUAGGUUUAAAAAGGAGAAGGAGUUGAAGGUGGGAGGGGAAGCAUUGUGAGAUUGAAAAGGAGCGGAUGUUGGUUUUGGAUAUGAUCAAGACACAUUCUAUGCAUGUGUAAAACUAACAAGGAAUAAAAAAGAUAUUUGGAAGAAAUGCACAGUAUACAAGCUUUAAGAGAAUGCAAUAAUAAUGUAUCCUUGUAUAUCAAUUACAUACUGUCUGAACAUAUUGAAGGGAAGCUGAAUAUUUUAUGAGCAAACAUUUUCAGUUAAAAAGUACAUGCAAACCUUUACAGUAGAGUCCCACGAUGCAGAAUACAGCCUGUCGUUAUGCCAACAGAUCUUGCUGACAGCAUCAUCAUGUCCCAUCAGUGUGUCCUGACGUCUUCCGAAU